AAACUUUCAACAACGGAUCUCUUGGUUCUCGCAUCGAUGAAGAACGCAGCGAAAUGCGAUAAGUAAUGUGAAUUGCAGAAUUCAGUGAAUCAUCGAAUCUUUGAACGCAAAUUGCACUCUUUGGUAUUCCGAAGAGUAUGCCUGUUUGAGUGUCAUGAAAACCU
Molecule: ribosomal RNA, 164 nt
Filed under: uncultured Basidiomycota
Lineage: Eukaryota; Fungi; Basidiomycota
Description: 5.8S ribosomal RNA
Rfam family: 5.8S ribosomal RNA
About the family: 5.8S ribosomal RNA (5.8S rRNA) is a component of the large subunit of the eukaryotic ribosome. It is transcribed by RNA polymerase I as part of the 45S precursor that also contains 18S and 28S rRNA. Functionally, it is thought that 5.8S rRNA may be involved in ribosome translocation.
Source: RNAcentral